UACGUAGGGGGCAAGCGUUGUCCGGAUUUAUUGGGCGUAAAGAGCUCGUAGGUGGUUCGGUAAGUCGGAUGUGAAAUCUCCAGGCUCAACCUGGAGGGGUCAUUCGAUACUGCCGUGACUAGAGUUCGGUAGGGGAGUGUGGAAUUCCUGGUGGAGCGGUGAAAUUCGUAGAUAUUCGCAAGAACACCAGUGGCGAAGGCGGCUCACUGGCCCGAUACUGACGCUGAGGCACGAAAGCGUGGGGAGCAAACAGG
This 254-nucleotide ribosomal RNA is filed under the name uncultured bacterium. RNAcentral's name for it is "partial 16S ribosomal RNA". It matches the Rfam family "Bacterial small subunit ribosomal RNA", at positions 524 to 776 of the family's 1533-position model. The record is from RNAcentral.